Molecule: long non-coding RNA, 1659 nt
Organism: Amphiprion ocellaris (clown anemonefish)
Lineage: Eukaryota; Metazoa; Chordata; Actinopteri; Pomacentridae
Source: Ensembl
GAAAAUAAAACUGGAGGUGGCGGCCAUUGCUGUAGCGUGGAUCAUCCACAAAUUAUGAUGUUGGCUGUUUGAUUCCCCUUCGUGUAUCGAAGUGUCCUUGUUCAAUUGGGAGCACCCAGUGAUAGGGUGCUAACGGACAUGGAUGCAGACACCUCCGCUUCUGCACAAAAACACAUAAACAUGCAAGCUGUAUACGUGCCCCGCUGCUCACCUUGGUCUCCAGCAUGCACAGGCAAACACGAGCAACACGCUGCACAACGGGCAUGCAGCGGUGGAACCACUGUGGGUGAGGCGUGUACCGGAGUGGAGCUCCCAUGUGGCUUCACUCAAUGGUGACUGAACCAUAAGAACAGAGGGACAGAGGGCUGCACACCACGGGGACUCUGGGAUGGCUCAGCCUUCUCCUGGAGGACCGCUGCCUUGGUGUUGCAUAGAGAGCGGCUGAUGUUUUAAUCAUGGCCGCAGGGCUCAUUGUGAUGUGCAGCCACCUCUGGGGUCUCUAAUUGUCUCAGGCCAGGCUGGCUCUGCUGAUCACCCUACGUCUGGAAUGGCUAAUGACUCGCAGUGAGAGUCUAAUCAGGAGGAUCCCCAGGAAACCCAAACAACGCCACGUGUCCAGCCAGAGGACGGAUCGGGUUUCCUUUCGCCUCCAGCUCCGGCACGGACCCUCCUGGUUUGCCUGAAAGUGAUUCCUGCCGCCUCAGAUCAGCGGAAAGAUGUGAGAGUUUGACUGACAGGCGAGCUCUGCGUCCCUUUAAAUCGAGCCAGGCCUGAAAAUGGAGAUCUUACAAGCUCGGACAGGAGCAGCAGAUAUUCAGUUCUUCCCUGGAGAACCUGAUCCUUACCGGCCACUGAUGUCUCGUCAGUCCAGGAGAGUUGGAGGUGGUGGGGAACAACAAUCCAGGGAUGAUCCAUCCAGUGAUAGGGAUAGGACAAGUUGCCACGGCAACCCUGCCUCCUGAUCCCUCCGACCGGCUGGAGCUGGCAGAGAAUGAGAACAAGCGAGAGACAGACCGGAGGAGAGGAAAAGAGGAGGGGGGAGGCGAGGCGAGGCGAGGCGAGGCGAGGCGAGGCGAGGCGAGGCGGCUUCGGAUGGCUGAAGCGCUGCCAGAGGUUUAGAAAACAGCUCAGUAAUGAACAGGAGGGACCGAGGGAUCGCAUAAGAAGCCAGAGUCUCCGGAGGGCCGACCUCCUAAUAGUUAGACCAUCUGAACCCUACGUGAACUGACAGACUGGUGACCUGUCCAGGGUGUCCAAUGCCUUCACCCUAAGUCAGCUGGGAUAGACUCCAGCCCCCCAGGAUGAGGAUUCAAUGAUCUACAGGUGUACAGGAGGGUCUUGGAAUUCCAUUCCUACGGCACACCUUUUUGGACCAGCGGGAGCAGAAGUCGGAGUGUCCGAGUCAGAGAAGCACCACGGACAGCGACAGCGGAACCCCCGGCACGUCUGGGUGGAAAAGUGAAGCGGUAGCUGGAGGGAAGAUAUUUACAAACACGCCUGACGGAGAUACACCUGGCCGAGAUGAUGUUGACGGAAAAGUGACAGUACUCCGUUACCUGCCUCCACGUUUGGGUAAAAAAAGUAAAGCAGAAGCUCGAGGGAAGACACACCUGACCAGAUGACGUCAGCUCUAGUGCUGUUGUUGACAAAAAAGGUGAC